This is a long non-coding RNA of Neodiprion virginianus, 2182 nucleotides long. RefSeq lists it as uncharacterized. The record is from RefSeq and is a predicted model, not a curated record. Lineage: Eukaryota; Metazoa; Arthropoda; Insecta; Hymenoptera; Diprionidae. The transcript has 4 exons.
UGAAAUUCACAAGUGACGAUUGCGUUAAAAAAAAUUUUCUUAUGUACUGUUUCAUUGAACGAUAGUUACACGUGUACGAACUAAAUGCCAUUUGGGUCCUUUUUCAGAUUAGCAAAAGUGAAGAAAUUCGUGGAUUCACAGACGAGGAGGAUCAGCCGAUGUGGGAAUUUUUCAUAAAAAUUGUUGACCAUGUUUUCACACGAACAUCUAAAAUGUCAAUAAAUGUAGGCUGAAAAUUUGAAAGUAACUGAUUGCACAAUUUCAUUUUUUUUUCCUUAUAAAUUACAAAAAAACUCUUAUUUUGGCGGAUAGAAAUUAGACACCCCACUUAAGUAUGGCGAUGUUCAGCAUUUUCAUCGAAACCGUUUGAAUUGUUUAAUCUUUAAUCCCUAAAUAUAUUCUGUUUUUCAUCUACCCGCCUCAACAUUCAUACCUAAACAUAACCAUUGCAAAUUUUUUUCGAGUAAAUUUCAGCUCGCUUCAAACAAAUAAGAAUCAAGGCCGGUCUGGCUAAUUUCAAAGUAUUAUACUUCAUUUCAAAGCGAGUACCAAGAAAUGUUGGUUAUGUUGGGUCAAAGCUUUUCGAGAAGUCGCAGAGCACCUUUGUGAGUGCGAGGCUGAAAGUAGUCCGCUCGACCAAUCGUGGAGCGCGUGAUGAAAAGGUAAUUUGCUGAUGGACCGGCUAGUUAGGCGUAGUAAUACAUUAUUGCGCUGACGCGAGUCGUGCGCAGCGAUACGAUUCGAAUCCGCAAUUCUGUUCAUUCUUCGUCCAUAAAGUCUCGGGUUGAGUCGAUCUGAGACUCCGGAGUUUGUCUGUGUUGCGAGCCUCAUAAUCCGUGUUUGAAAAUAUUUGCCUGCUCAGUGACAGACGGAAAAGUGACUUUACUCCGAAAUCAAUCUUAAACAAUAACUCUCGACUUCAUUCUUUUACGCGUUGCUGUACCAAAGCGUUAGUUUGUUACCGAUCACGGCUAUCAAACUCACAAUCAGUGUAUCGUGUGUUAAUGCAAUUAACGGUCCUCGCUAACUCGAGUAAAUUCAGUGAUCGACUUUUUCGGACAGCUGUGUUACGGACGUUUCAAACAAUUUGUGCCGACUAUGCGGUGAACUGGCAAAAGGAGUGAAGUAGUAUUUCGGUGUUGGGUUCGGACGUGUGCCGAGAGUCAGCAUCAACGUUUCGGAGCCUUGUGUUUAUUUGAGGGACUCGGGCCCCCCUUACGAGACGGUACAGCCAAGGAAAGUCGUUGUCGGUGAUGUAUGGAGUGGUAUUGUACGUAAUAAAUUCCGGUUCAGGUAUCUCUUCGAUGACCGGGACCGGGACCACCUUUCGUCCGAUGUCGACCUGUUCCAAGAGAAGGUCUUCCGAUACGUCCGGAGCUCGUUGGUGGUGAACGAUUCCUCUCGGUCGGCCGGCUCGAGUAACGGUGAAAAGAAUCGCACGGUCAGAGCGUAAAGAUUCCCGCGUUCGUUCCUGAAACCGGGAAGUCUGGCUUCUAUUUCGGCCUUACUGUUUUCUCGGACGUGUCUACCGGCUCUAUCACGAGGCUCGAUGCGCGUUGAGGAGGGUUUUGGCAUCUACGGGUAAAGGAGAGAUGGAUUUAAUCAAGGCAAUGCUAGUUUUGCAAGGGGAAACAGGAGGCAGGAAUAUAUCAAGAUGGCCGCCGUGGUGUUUGUUUCUCCGCAUGGGUGGUUCACGAACUGGGCUGCCUGCUGGCUCCGAUCAACCGUGUGUGCGCGGUUGCUUGACUCAAAAAGUGUAGGCGGAUGACGUGUGUGUGCGAUUGCCUGACUGGAGGAUUGUAGGCGCGCAAUCUCUGAUGCGUUUCUGCACCUUUUAGGCGUAUACAAAAUCUAUUCCGUGUGACGGACAUCCGGAAGAUGCCACAUUUGAAUGGUACGUUCGAGGCGGGGUUGAAGUUAUGAAUUUGAAAAGUUCCGAAAGUGCGUAAUUACGAAUUAUUUGGUGGCGAAACGAAACUCGAGGUGAAGAAAUCAACCUUAUACGAAACAACAAAGUUGGAAAUUGUUGCAAGCCCGACCGCUCAGAAUUCCAAGAUGCAAGGUUCUCAAAAUUAAAGAUACGAUAAAGUAAUGUUCCGAAAAGUAAAGUUCCGAUAGAGCAAAACAUCCGAAAAAUGCAGUUUUGAUUGAGUAAAAUUCGGGAAAUUAAAAUAAAACCGCA